UCCAGACUCCUACGGGAGGCAGCAGUGGGGGAUAUUGCACAAUGGGGGGAACCCUGAUGCAGCGACGCCGCGUGGGUGAAGGAGCGUUUCGGCGCGUAAAGCCCUAUCGGCAGGGAAGAAGGAGGACGGUACCUGACUAAGAAGCCCCGGCCAACUACGUGCCAGCAGCCGCGGUAAUACGUAGGGGGCAAGCGUUAUCCGGAUUUACUGGGUGUAAAGGGGGCGCAGACGGCAGCGCAAGCCAGGAGUGAAAGCCCGGGGCCCAACCCCGGGACUGCUCUUGGAACUGCGCGGCUGGAGUGCAGGAGGGGCAGGCGGAAUUCCUGGUGUAGCGGUGAAAUGCGUAGAUAUCAGGAGGAACACCGGUGGCGAAGGCGGCCUGCUGGACUGCGACUGACGUUGAGGCCCGAAAGCGUGGGGAGCAAACAGGAUUAGAUACCCUUGUAA
Molecule: ribosomal RNA, 447 nt
Filed under: uncultured bacterium
Lineage: Bacteria
Description: partial 16S ribosomal RNA
Rfam family: Bacterial small subunit ribosomal RNA
Source: RNAcentral